UCAGUUAGUUGGUAGGGUAACGGCCUACCAAGGCGAAGACGGGUAGGGGGUGUGAGAGCACGGCCCCCCACACUGGGACUGAGACACGGCCCAGACUCCGACGGGAGGCAGCAGCGGGGAAUAUUGCGCAAUGGACGGAAGUCAGACGCAGCGACGCCGCGUGGGUGAAGAAGGCCUUCGGGUUGUAAAGCCCUCUUCUGUGGGAAGAGGAAGGACGGUACCAUAGGAAUAAGCGUCGGCUAACUACGUGCCAGCAGCCGCGGUAAGACGUAGGACGCGAGCGUUAUCCGGAUUUACUGGGCGUAAAGCGUGUGUAGGCGGCGUGACAAGUUGGGCGUGAAAGCCCCGUGCUCAACGCGGGGAGGCCGCACAAUACUGUCAGGCUAGAGGGCAUCAGAGGGGUGUGGAAUUCCCGGAGUAGCGGUAAAAUGCGCAGAUAUCGGGAGGAACACCGGUGGCGAAAGCGGCACCCUGGGGUGCACCUGACGCUGAGAGACGACAGCUAGGGGAGCGAACAGGAUUAGAGACCCUGGUAGUCCUAGCCGUAAACGAUGGAUGCUAGGUGUGGGAGUGAAGAACUUCUGUGCCGCAGCGAACGCGAUAAGCAUCCCGCCUGGGGAGUACGGCCGCAAGGUUAAAACUCAAACGAAUUGACGGGGACCCGCACAAGCAGCGGAGCGUGUGGUUUAAUUCGAUGCUACACGAAGAACCUUACCUGGGAUUGACAUAUGGGUGGUAGUGAGCCGAAAGGCAAGCGACCCUUCGGGGAGCCUAUACAGGUGCUGCAUGGCUGUCGUCAGCUCGUGCCGUGAGGUGUCGGGUUAAGUCCCGUAACGAGCGCAACCCCUGUCCUUAGUUACAAGUGUCUAAGGGGACUGCCGGCGGGAAGCCGGAGCAAGGUGGGGAUGACGUCAAGUCAGCAUGGCCCUUAUAUCCAGGGCGACACACACGCUACAAUGGUCGGUACAGAGGGCAGCGAAGCCGCGAGGUGGAGCGAAACCCAGAAAGCCGGUCGUAGUUCGGAUUGCAGGCUGCAACUCGCAUGCAUGAAGUUGGAGUUGCUAGUAACCGCAGGUCAGCCAUCCUGCGGUGAAUACGUUCCCGGGUCUUGUACACACCGCCCGUCACGUCAU
RNAcentral lists this ribosomal RNA (1133 nucleotides) under uncultured organism. RNAcentral describes it as "bacterial SSU rRNA". It matches the Rfam family "Bacterial small subunit ribosomal RNA", at positions 241 to 1405 of the family's 1533-position model. The record is from RNAcentral.